GGAGGGUGCAAGCGUUAAUCGGAAUAACUGGGCGUAAAGGGCAUGCAGGCGGUUCAUCAAGUAGGAUGUGAAAUCCCCGGGCCCAACCUGGGAACAGCAUACUAAACUGGUGGACUAGAGUAUUGCAGGGGGAGACGGAAUUCCAGGUGUAGCGGUGGAAUGCGUAGAUAUCUGGAAGAACACCAAAGGCGAAGGCAGACUCCUGGGCAAAUACUGACGCUCAUAUGCGAAAGCGUGGGUAGCAAACAGGAUUAGAUACCCUGGUAGUCCACGCCGUAAACGAUGAGUACUAGCUGUCGGAGGUUACCCCCUUCGGUGGCGCAGCUAACGCAUUAAGUACUCCGCCUGGGAAGU
RNAcentral lists this ribosomal RNA (354 nucleotides) under uncultured bacterium. RNAcentral's name for it is "bacterial SSU rRNA". It matches the Rfam family "Bacterial small subunit ribosomal RNA", at positions 527 to 881 of the family's 1533-position model. The record is from RNAcentral.